Microcebus murinus (gray mouse lemur) is the source of this 6141-nucleotide non-coding RNA. The record is from RefSeq and is a predicted model, not a curated record. Lineage: Eukaryota; Metazoa; Chordata; Mammalia; Primates; Cheirogaleidae.
CUGAGCUACCGGGGGUGCAUCACCGCGGGCCCGGGAACCAAUCCUCCUGUCGGCGGGGGCGUCCCUCCCUGCGGCUUGGUGGUGUCGGAACAAAAUGCCGACCGGAAGUGCAGCUGCAGGAAUGACUCCCUCCGCCGGCGCCAAACACUAACAACCACCCCCUCUUCCCCACUCCACUUCCGCCACCGCCGCAGCCGCCGCCGCCGCCACUUGGGCUAGCGUCCUCGGCUGCGCCGCGCCUCGCCAGAGCCCGGCCGGGGCCAGCAGCCAGGCUGCGGCGGAUCUCCUCUACGCCCUUCUCUUCCUCAGCGCUGCUGUGGAUGUUGGCUGUAUGUUGAUCCUGCAGAGCGGCGUUUGCGCUGCGGCACGGGCGGGCCGGUCCUCCUCGGUCUUUAUUUUUCUGGAGGCCCGCAGGAGCGGGGCCCCAGUUCGGUGCUGGUGGUCGUAGGGGCUGCUGAGGCCCGGAUGGGCUCCGAGGCCGUGGACGACGGCGGCUGGAGGCCGGGCUCGCUGUCCCGGCUCGGCAUUAGCUUUAAGGAGCCGAGCUCCUGGCGGCUGCGUAGAGGACGCCCGCGAUUCGACGGCGAUGGUGCAUUUUUUAAAUGGUGUCCCUGCAGCCGGGUGGAUGGAUAUAUCAUACGCUUUCUCGCCUUUUGAGAGGCCGGACUUUACGCCCGUCUGUGUGUUAUUUCUGCGGAGUAAACGCAGCUCUUGGAGGUGAAGAAGGCUGCCAGCUGGAUUGAAUUGGAACCAUGUUUGUUAUGCAUUUCUUUCUGGAGAUACGCGGUCUCUGCUGAUCUUGCUUUUUUUUGGCGGUGGUUUUGGUUCUUCCCUAACAGUCGGAUCAAGGCCUGUAGGCGACGCUGUGCGAGCGAGGAGCUGGCCGGCGGCAGACCCGGCUCCCGGCUCCCGGCUCCCGGCUCCGGGCUCCGGGCUCCGGGCUCCCUCUAGGUGUGGGUGGAGCCGAGCGCGCGGGGAGAGCCGCCGGCCCGGCUCCGGCCACUGGCGGACUGUGGGAGACUGCGGGCCUGGAGCUGGCAGAUUUCACACAUCGUUUUCCUCUUCAUAUUUGAAACACUGAGGCACUGGACAAAGCUGGAGUACAAAAAUUGUGAUUAUACUUACAGUACCAAGCUUGUAGUCUCUUAUUGUAAAACAAGAAGUAACUUCAUCGUUCCACAGUUCUCUAUUAAAUUUGUGUAAAUUAAAAGUGGGCUAUUCUUCAGGUAAAAAAAUGCAGUAGGAAAUGGAGAGGAUAUCAAGUGGAAAUAUAAAAGUGGAAAUGUCUCAGUUUUAUAAUCUAAGAUGGAAAACCGUAGAAAAUAGUAACCUUAGAGUCAUGAUGUAGCCAGAUGUAACAGUGAACAUUGCUUAGUAAUUUCAUUUUUAUUUAAAGCUGAAAUUAGCUUCCAAAUAGGCACAUUUUACAAUUAUGAAGUUGGUGCAAUAAGUAGAUCUUAAAUUUAUAUGUAUUUUAAGAAACAAGGGAUAAAGUGUAAUAGAAAAUUAUUACAGUGAAGUAAUUAAAAGAAUGAGACUAUUUUUCAGUUUAAAAAUAGAGAAUAGUAUUGUUUCCUCUACUGUUUAUGAACACAACAAAGCAAUACUCAUUUUGUGAGAGAUGCCUGGAGUAACAGUAGCUAAAUGAUAACUGACAGUUUAUUUAAUAUCAUAUGCAAACUUCAACAUGCCUGAUAGAAUGGGUGCAUAUUGAAUGAAUAGAUACGAUCUAUUAACUAUUUGAAGUAAAACUGUAAGAAUUGGGUGUUAGCUAACAGCAUCAAAAUAAAAAAUUUAAAGGCCCAAACAUCUUUAGUUAAGCAAUAAACUGAAUUAUGCUAGUCUAGCCUAUUAUUCAUUGCAGUUUGUGGAAACAUACUGCCUAAAGCAUAGAAGGACAAUUGGUUGAGGCAAGUUUUAGCAAUAUGUACAUUUGCUCAUGUGUUUAUUCAGACCAAAAAUAGUAUAUUUGAGUACUUACGUCUCCAUAAGACAUGGAGCAUGUCUUCAUUUUAAACCAGACAAAAUUCUCAAAUCGUAUUGAAAGAUUUAAUUUCAUUGAUAUGUGAACAUUCAUACAAAUUCAAUAUGCAACUAUAACUCCAAGAAAAUGGUACUUUGAAGCAAAUCAUUUAAUAUUCAGUGCAAAAGGUAGACUAAACUUCUUGAAGGGUUAGUCCUUUUAUAAUGCUAUAUUAUAUGUUGACAUUAUUUUGUAUAUUGGCAUCUAUUCAUGUCACUUCAUCAUGGCAAUGAUAUCCAAGAUAUAUAGUUCAUCUGAUAUCAGUCCUAGAGACAUUUUAAUGCCAAGAAAAGCAAUGUAACCAGUAUUACUACUUCUAAUUAUGUUCUUCCUUUACACAUGAGUUGUGAUGAAUAUGGGCUAUUAGAAUUGUAUAAACAGCCUGACCUUUUAAAUUAUAUUUUAAAUUUGUUAAUGUUUCCACUCAUGGAAAAAUAGCUGUAACUUUUUAAAAAUUAUAUUAAUAAAGUAGCAACAGCUUUACCAUGAACUGUUUCCUAAUUGUUAAGCAUAAUAAUGGGUUAACUCAUAUCAAAGUCCAGUAAAAACUAUUAACUUUGCCACCAAAGUCAACAUCUCAGAAUCUAACAUAUGUAGUAUAGGUAUUUCUGUUUUAUCUAGUUUUUAUUUAAUAAUGUAAGAUUCAGGCUAUAACAAACUCAAAACCAAACAAAGGCUUGGAAAGAAAAUAGUCGAAAAAAAGAAAAGAAAGAGAAACGGAAAAAAGAAAGAAAAUAACUCAUACCUUGUCUUAUUCCCAAGUAAGGAGUGGUGACCAUUUAGGACAGGCAUCAAAAAGUGACUUAGAACAAAAUCAGGAAGUUUGAGUAAAGAAUUUUUCUCUUCCUAAAAAAUUAAAUAUAAAAGUCAGGAAUUUAUACCCACACAUGAAUACUGUUUUUAACAUAGUUCUUUAGGCAUUUGAAAUAUUUUCUUUUUGAGAAACAGCAUCACAACCCAAAUUUCUUUAGUAGUCAUGUUUCUGAUUUAUCAGCUUAUUUCUGUUUUACACUACUGAAUUCUGUACUGCUUCUAAAGCACCUCUCUAAUGUAGCUUUCUCAGUAUUGCCUUCUUCCUAAUACUAACAUUAAGAUUCGCUAGCUAUCUCCAAUACAUUCUGAUGAUUCCUUAUGAUCAUAUCUAAGCAAACUAUGUAACUUUUGUUUGAUAUAAGGGGAAAUAGCUUACAUUAUGAAUUUAGAAGUGAUUUUACUAGUACUUGACAAUACUUUAUAUAAGCAAAAGUAUUUUUAAUUAAAGAACUUAUUGCACAUCUUAUAGGCUUUCUGCAGCAAAUUUUGAAUGUCCAUUUCAGCUAGAAGCUUAGAAAUGAUAAUACCUUAGGUUUAAUCUUGUGUUUACAUUAAACCUUUUGGGUUUUAAUUCUACCUACAAUAUUGCUGUAAAAACAUAGUUGUGACAUCUGGCUCUUUAAGAGGUACUCACCAGAAAACUGGUUUGAAAACUAUUUUGACUACGAUGUAACUAUUUAUUCAAUAUGAUAAGAGGUAAGUAUGCCUCUGAAUAGAAGUAAGCCUCUAAUUCUCUAUAUUUUUAGAAAUAUUAUUGUAUUCUAAGAAUAUCAGAAGAAUAUGUGCUGCUUAAAGAAAUUUUGAGUUUGCAUUUCCAAGGUGGCAGAUAAGAAUGAACAACAUAAGAAUGUACAACAUUCUUAUCACUAUAAACUAUAGAUUAUUCAUUCAACCCAGCACCUUUGUACUAGAAACAGUGAAUAUACAAUGAAUAACUUGGUCUCUUUCCUCGUAUGGCUCACAGCCCAAAAGACUAGCUCAAAUAUAUUUAAAACAGUGAGAUAAGUAAGUGACAAUAAAUUGUAUCACAAGUGCUAUGAAAAUACCAAAGAUAACCUAAAAGUUUUGAAAAAAGCUUCAUAGGAGAGGUGAAUGUUGAACAUUAGUGAAAGAUAAAUAAUUUUCCAAGUAGAUAAGAGGGUGAUAGAAAGGAAAUAAGCCAUUCUAAAGAGGGAGGAACAUAUAUAUGUACAUGAGAAAGUUCCUUAUAUUUCAAAAUCUGAAAAUUGGUUUGGAUAGAAUACACAUUAGGUAAGGAGGCUGGGAUCUGGGUACUGCAGUCUAAAAAGAGUUUGGAUAUUACCCAACAUUCAACAGGUAAAUAUGAAAGAAUUUUCCAUACAGGAAAUAAAAUUUUCAUUUUAGAAUAAUGCUACAAUUAACGUUAAAAACAAGUAACUAUUACCAAAAAAAGGGACAAUACUUAAUGAAAAUGGUGAAUCUGGAAAUUUCAUAUAAUUUAGAAAUAUGUAUCCAGCUGUAAAAAUGUACUCUGACCUAGUAUUUUCUCAUCUGGGUUUUUGAUGUGGCUAUAUUGCUUUUGUAAUUUCAAUGAAAACAGAAAGAAGUUUAGGCACCUGAAUGAAAAAAGGGUAGGAAUAUGAGAGAGGCUGGAGAAAGGUGAAUCAAUGAGAAAGCUAAUUUAAUAGGUCAAGUGAGAUAUGAGGGCUUGGCUGUGGGAGCAGGGCUGUAGAGGAGGGGGUAGAUUUGAAAGAUAAAGUAGAAUUAAGGACUUGCUGAACCAGUGGAUAUAUAAAGUAAGAGAAAGUGGGGGCACUGGGGAUGGAGUCAAUUAUUACUGACAAUAGGCUUAGUUCUCUAGAUGGGAUACUGGUGCCAUUGAACGAGAUAGAGAUACAGGUGACAAUUUAGGCUUACAGCAGAAAGGAAUAAGAAUAAAUUUGGUUUUAGGUAAGUUAAAUUUGAGAUGCCUGUUAAACUCUCAUUUUAAUGACGUCUGGUUAGGCAGUUGGAAAUACGUGUGAAUACUCAGGAAACAGCUAGAUUACACAGAUAAGAGUCCUCUUCGUGUAGGUAAUAGUGGAAACCACAAAGUAGAACCCAGGGAAAGUUAAAAUGAGAAGCAGCCAAGGAAUUAUAAGGACCACUAAGAAAAAAGUAAGCUACCAAAGUUUGCUAUGAUUUAAUAAUCUAUCACCUUCCCCCAAAAUAUUUGAGAAGAAUCCUUUUAUUUAUAAGACAUAUUUAGUCAAAUAUAACAUUCUGGGCCCUAAAAUCAUUAACCUAUAAAAUCUUAUAUUAUUUAAUCCUGGAAGUUAUUUAAUUACUAUGUCCUUCUUUUGAUUUUACUUAAAAAUGGGAGACUAGGAAAACAGAAGUUAAUUUCCUAAGAGAGAAAGAAAAAAGGUUGAUAACUUAUUUUAUUUUUUAGCAGCAUAUUCUUCUUAACAUUAAAUAAUACUUGCAACGGAGAUCUAGGAAGUUUAGUUACAGUUUCCAAACUUUCCAAGAAGUUUCUGUUCUAGGUGCCAAUCCAAUGCACACUUCUCCCUGACUAUUCUUGCUGCUUCACUUAUACCACUCCUUCUUGAUCUGUUUCUCUUACUACCAAUCCUCUCAUAAUAUCUAUCUAGCCACCAUUGGUCUCCACUGUCCCCACAGAUUUUGGUUUCUUCAAAUCAAGAGCAAUAUCAUAGUCUUGAUUGUUCAUGUCACCUAGUGGUAAGAGAGACACUAGCAUGACAGGGUGGAAGUGAAGAUUAUACCAUAUUUCAGAGGUUUUCAUGUUUUUCAGUAAUGAAUCACAACAAUCAGAAAUCCCUAUGUCUGUGGGCCACAUAUUUAAAUCUUGAGAAUAAUAGUCUUAGCUAUUCAAAUAUAUUUAGUUUUGUACUAUUACAAUAAAGCAGUGUCCAAAUAGUUUAAUCAGCUUUUUUCAUAUAAAGGUGCAAACUUAUGGGCCAAGUACUAGUCUUCAGUUAAUCUUGAUGUCAGUGAGAAUACUGGUAGAUAAUAGGUCAAAUUCUGCACAAAACCGAGGGCUGUUCAACAAUUGGUGCUGGGACAACUGGAUAACCACAUGCAAAAGACUAGGACCCUUACCUCACACCAUUUUGCAAAAAUUAACACAAAAUGGAACAAUGACAUAAAUAUAAGAGCAAAAACUAGAAAAUAUUCAGAAAAAAUGGGAUAAAUUUUUAUCAUCUUGGAUUUGACAAACAUUUCUCAGAUCAAAAGCACCAGCCACCAAAACAAACCAUAAAUCAGACAUCAUCAAAAACUAAAAAUUUGGGGCCAGGCGUGGUAGCUCACGCCUGUAAUCCAAGCACUCUGGGAGGCCGAAG